This 445-nucleotide ribosomal RNA is filed under the name uncultured bacterium. Its description in RNAcentral is "bacterial SSU rRNA". It matches the Rfam family "Bacterial small subunit ribosomal RNA", at positions 330 to 792 of the family's 1533-position model. The record is from RNAcentral.
UCCAGACUCCUACGGGAGGCAGCAGUGGGGAAUAUUGCACAAUGGGGGAAACCCUGAUGCAGCGACGCCGCGUGAGUGAAGAAGUAAUUCGUUAUGUAAAGCUCUCUCAGCAGGGAAGAAAAUGACGGUACCUGAGUAAGAAGCCCCGGCUAACUACGUGCCUGCAGCCGCGGUAAUACGUAGGGGGCAAGCGUUAUCCGGAUUUACUGGGUGUAAAGGGCGUGUAGGCGGGACUGCAAGUCAGAUGUGAAAAUUAUGGGCUCAACCCAUAACCUGCAUUUGAAACUGUAGUUCUUGAGUGAUGGAGAGGCAGGCGGAAUUCCGUGUGUAGCGGUGAAAUGCGUAGAUAUACGGAGGAACACCAGUGGCGAAGGCGGAUUGCUGGACAGUAACUGACGCUGAGGCGCGAAAGCGUGGGGAGCAAACAGGAUUAGAUACCCGUGUA